AAACCAACUUCAACACUCACCCUCACAUCUAGCGUGGGAUUGGGUCCAAUUCCAAAACUGCAAUCCAUAACCCGACUCACCUUGUUAAAUUGACUUGGAUCUCAUCCCAAAUGCUAACUUAAAAGAUGAAGGUUCUAAAACAUACUUAUACACUCAACAACCUGAAAACCUGAGCAAUGUGGGACAAAUAACAAACUACAAACAACUUCAAAAUUAACUUCCACAGAAAACCUGAUCAAUGUGGGACAAAUAACAAACUACAAACAACUUCAAAAUUAACUUCCACACC
This 289-nucleotide long non-coding RNA is filed under the name Medicago truncatula (barrel medic). RNAcentral describes it as "long non-coding RNA (MTRU_LNC001926)". Lineage: Eukaryota; Viridiplantae; Streptophyta; Magnoliopsida; Fabales; Fabaceae. The record is from RNAcentral.